RNAcentral lists this ribosomal RNA (433 nucleotides) under uncultured bacterium. Its description in RNAcentral is "partial 16S ribosomal RNA". It matches the Rfam family "Bacterial small subunit ribosomal RNA", at positions 29 to 507 of the family's 1533-position model. The record is from RNAcentral.
AACGAACGCUGGUGGCAUGCCUAACACAUGCAAGUCGAACGAGACCUUCGGGUCUAGUGGCGCACGGGUGCGUAACGCGUGGGAACCUGCCCUUAGGUUCGGAAUAACUCAGAGAAAUUUGAGCUAAUACCGGAUAAUGUCUUCGGACCAAAGAUUUAUCGCCUUUGGAUGGGCCCGCGUAGGAUUAGCUUGUUGGUGGGGUAAUGGCCUACCAAGGCGACGAUCCUUAGCUGGUCUGAGAGGAUGAUCAGCCACACUGGGACUGAGACACGGCCCAGACUCCUACGGGAGGCAGCAGUGGGGAAUAUUGGACAAUGGGCGAAAGCCUGAUCCAGCAAUGCCGCGUGAGUGAUGAAGGCCUUAGGGUUGUAAAGCUCUUUUACCAGGGAUGAUAAUGACAGUACCUGGAGAAUAAGCUCCGGCUAACUCCGUG